AGGUCUUCGGAUGCUGACGAGUGGCGGACGGGUGAGUAAUACAUCGGAACGUGCCUAGUAGUGGGGGAUAACUACUCGAAAGAGUAGCUAAUACCGCAUGAGAUCUACGGAUGAAAGCAGGGGACCUUCGGGCCUUGUGCUACUAGAGCGGCUGAUGGCAGAUUAGGUAGUUGGUGGGGUAAAGGCUUACCAAGCCUGCGAUCUGUAGCUGGUCUGAGAGGGCGACCAGCCACACUGGGACUGAGACACGGCCCAGACUCCUACGGGAGGCAGCAGUGGGGAAUUUUGGACAAUGGGCGAAAGCCUGAUCCAGCAAUGCCGCGUGCAGGAUGAAGGCCCUCGGGUUGUAAACUGCUUUUGUACGGAACGAAAAGCCUGGGGCUAAUAUCCCCGGGUCAUGACGGUACCGUAAGAAUAAGCACCGGCUAACUACGUGCCAGCAGCCGCGGUAAUACGUAGGGUGCAAGCGUUAAUCGGAAUUACUGGGCGUAAAGCGUGCGCAGGCGGUUUUGUAAGACAGUGGUGAAAUCCCCGGGCUCAACCUGGGAACUGCCAUUGUGACUGCAAGGCUAGAGUGCGGCAGAGGGGGAUGGAAUUCCGCGUGUAGCAGUGAAAUGCGUAGAUAUGCGGAGGAACACCGAUGGCGAAGGCAAUCCCUGGGCCUGCACGACGCUCAUGCACG
RNAcentral lists this ribosomal RNA (682 nucleotides) under uncultured beta proteobacterium. RNAcentral describes it as "bacterial SSU rRNA". It matches the Rfam family "Bacterial small subunit ribosomal RNA", at positions 74 to 755 of the family's 1533-position model. The record is from RNAcentral. Lineage: Bacteria; Pseudomonadati; Pseudomonadota; Betaproteobacteria.